Molecule: long non-coding RNA, 460 nt
Filed under: Penaeus monodon (black tiger shrimp)
Lineage: Eukaryota; Metazoa; Arthropoda; Malacostraca; Decapoda; Penaeidae
Description: uncharacterized LOC119579785, transcript variant X2
Source: RNAcentral
UCUAGGGCUUGGGCUGACGGUUCCCUCAUAGGCUGCGAUAAGGAUAAUGUCGUAGUCGUGUUCCUCAGUGUUGAUAUGUAGUGAAUUACGCCUUGUCCCUAGUGUUGACGUAUAUGUGGAAGGAAGGGUGUCUUACGAAGGGGGGCCAUCACAGGUUAUAGAGCAGUACGAGAGGGCAUCCUGGCUCGACAACACGUACAUAAGGACCGACUUGAGGACUUCUGUUAAAAGGCCUAGACUGUUCCCGCUAUGCGAUUGACCGCAUUCCAAGAAAAGUGAAGCGGGUACGACGCAGUGGUAUCAGUCACCUUGAAAUGCCACGAAUAAUCUAAGUGCGUGAAAUGGCGCUUACAGUCUGGAGCACGUAGAAUUGCUAAACCCCACUGUUUAUUUACGUUUUUUUUUUUUUAAGGCAUAACAUUUAUCAUAAAAAUAAUAAAUAAUAAUAGUUAUCUAUGAA